CUGAGCUCGAAAUGAAGUGUUGUUUUAUUUGGGACACAGACAAAGGAUAAACCUCCCUGAGGAGAAGGGCAGUAGAGGCCACAGGCUGGCCUUCACCACUGCUGUCCCAAGCCAGGAUGGGAACUCUGCUCCUGGGACAUGUGGUUCCCACACCUCCCUCUGGGUCAAGGCAAGAAGCAGCAAAACUGCAGCAGUACUGCAGGAUUGUCCUGUGGGCCUGGGUGAACUGGGGCUGGGAGACACUGGUCUAGCAGUGUUUUUGUGAAAAAAAUGUUAUUGUUAUACUUGAAUUUAUCAUGCUGUUGGAGAGCACUGGGCGUGAGUCAGCCUUGAGGCAGUAAGAUGGACAAGAUGAGCUCUUGAAGUACCUUUCCAGACCUAUUUCUACAAGUCUAU
Molecule: long non-coding RNA, 396 nt
Organism: Athene cunicularia (burrowing owl)
Lineage: Eukaryota; Metazoa; Chordata; Aves; Strigiformes; Strigidae
Exons: 3
Source: RefSeq, a predicted model, not a curated record